Molecule: long non-coding RNA, 517 nt
Filed under: Bos taurus (domestic cattle)
Lineage: Eukaryota; Metazoa; Chordata; Mammalia; Artiodactyla; Bovidae
Description: long non-coding RNA NONBTAT024688
Source: RNAcentral
CAUGUCUAAAUAUCCAAAGUUAAGUCUAAAAAUCCAAAUAAACCAUGUUUAAAACAAGGAAAAUACUAUCCUAUUCUGAUUUUAUCAAAUGCUUAUUUGAUUUUUACUGAUAAACUUUUUAGAGAGAUGCUUCAUUCACAUUUUAGAGGUCUAAGAGCAGAGACAAAGGUUUAAUAAGGUUUCCCAGCUGAUAGACAAGUUAUUUUUAAUUGUAGCAUGGUGUCUACAGUAACAAAUUUGUCUUACAAACAAAAUGGUCUUGUAACUUUUUACUCAGCUUUUUUAUUUAAUGGCUUGAUACGCUAUUUAAGAUUUCAUGUUAAUAUUUCCAUCAAAGCAAAACAAGAAACAGAAUAAUGAUUGUACUGUGAUGGCCUAACAUUGUUAGCAUAUUUUUAUACUAUUAGGACCUUUACUCAACUGUUUGAAGUUAAGCACACAUAUACCCGAAAGGUGAAAUUCUUUACUCUUCUUUUGCCCUGUAAGCAUUCACUCUGGAAACUGAGGAAAUUGUUUG